ACUCAAAGGAAUAGACGGGGGCCCGCACAAGCGGUGGAGCAUGUGGUUUAAUUCGACGCAACGCGAAGAACCUUACCUGGGUUCGAACGGUGGAUGAAAGCCCCCAGAAACGGGGGCCCUCUUCGGACAUCUUCCGAGGUGCUGCAUGGCUGUCGUCAGCUCGUGUCGUGAGAUGUUGGGUUAAGUCCCGCAACGAGCGCAACCCUUGCUUUCAGUUACCAGCGGGUAAUGCCGGGGACUCUGAAAGGACUGCUGCGGUAACGCAGAGGAAGGUGGGGAUGACGUCAAGUCCUCAUGGCCCUUACGCCCAGGGCUACACACGUGCUACAAUGGGUCGGACAGAGAGUCGCAAGGCCGCAAGGUGGAGCUAAUCUCUAAACCGCCCCCCAGUUCGGAUUGGAGUCUGCAAUUCGACUCCAUGAAGCCGGAAUCGCUAGUAAUCGCGGAUCAGAACGCCGCGGUGAAUACGUUCCCGGGCCUUGUACACACCGCCCGU
Molecule: ribosomal RNA, 496 nt
Filed under: uncultured bacterium
Lineage: Bacteria
Description: partial 16S ribosomal RNA
Rfam family: Bacterial small subunit ribosomal RNA
Source: RNAcentral